CCUACGGGUGGCUGCAGUGGGGAAUUUUGGACAAUGGGCGCAAGCCUGAUCCAGCAAUGCCGCGUGCAGGAAGAAGGCCUUCGGGUUGUAAACUGCUUUUGUACGGAGCGAAAAGGCUCUCUCUAAUACAGGGGGCUCAUGACGGUACCGUAAGAAUAAGCACCGGCUAACUACGUGCCAGCAGCCGCGGUAAUACGUAGGGUGCGAGCGUUAAUCGGAAUUACUGGGCGUAAAGCGUGCGCAGGCGGUGAAAUCCCCGGGCUCAACCUGGGAAUGGCGCUUGUGACUGCAAAGCUGGAGUGCGGCAGAGGGGGAUGGAAUUCCGCGUGUAGCAGUGAAAUGCGUAGAUAUGCGGAGGAACACCGAUGGCGAAGGCAAUCCCCUGGGCCUGCACUGACGCUCAUGCACGAAAGCGUGGGGAGCAAACAGGAUUAGAUACCCUUGUAGUC
RNAcentral lists this ribosomal RNA (449 nucleotides) under uncultured bacterium. RNAcentral describes it as "partial 16S ribosomal RNA". It matches the Rfam family "Bacterial small subunit ribosomal RNA", at positions 338 to 795 of the family's 1533-position model. The record is from RNAcentral.